UAUAUGUAUAGUAAGUCUGAGGUUCUCGUAAUUUCUAUUGCGUCUUGAAUGUAUACAAAAAUUUUUUAUCAUGUAGUUUUAUAUAUAUAAUAUUAUAUAUUGCAUAUAAUAGCAAGAAAAUUUACAUUUUUUUUCGAAAAUUUGAUAAAUUUGAGUUGUUUCCACGGUCUACCAGGUGAACAUUGAAAUAAUUUUUUCAGUUAUUAAUUACUGGAAAUUAAAAUAUUUUAUCAUAUUUAAUAAAUGUGAGGAUGGCUAAAUUUUGCUUAAUCACAAAUUAUAAGGGAUAUUAUAUUGUUGAGAAGGAGAAAAUAUUUCGUUUCAACGAAGAAAAGCAACUUGUCUCGAUUUGCAAUGACAACGAUUAUGAUGAGCACAAUGGAUCUCUAUUUAUUCGAAAUGUUGGAAUACCUCUUAAAGAAAUGACAAUCAUUGACACCGACGAUAACGUGAACGAGCUUAAAGGUCGUCACAAGACGAAAAAAAUCCGCACUUUAAAACUGUCAGCAUACAGUCCAGCCAUAACUUAAAGAAAACAAUCCAAAAGUGUCAUUAAUCGAAUGAAUAAAAAAGGACCAGGGAAUGUCAUUUCAGGAGAAUAUUAUAGAAAUUUAUUACCAGCUAAUGAUCAGGAGAAUAUUACUAGUAGGCCCGAUGAUGCUCCGGAAUACAGUGAUCGUACAGAUGAAAACCAUAAUAGUGAUAGUGAAAGUGCGGAAGUUGAUGAAACCCCAAAAAGAGGACUUUCCAACAACACAAACGUGAUUAAUCGUAAUAAUGGGCUACAAAACCGACGUGCCAAAAGAUUAAAACGGACGGUAGUAAACCAUCCUUUCCCGAAUCCAGCAAUAAAACUGUUAAAAACAGCUGUAAUGUCUCUAACUAAUGAAGUGAAGAAAUUAAGUAAUAUUAAUUGCCCAAUUAUUCAAGCAAGACCAACCCGUUGUCCAAAUAUGGAUGAAUCCAUCGCUAUUGAGAACGGCGAAGAGAUGACAGUAAUAGGUGACUUAAAGUUUUCAACAUCUACGUUGGCUGGUAUAUUGAUGGCAAAAAGAAUGAAGCUCCGCGCUCGGAGGAUUAUAAACGAAUUCUGGUCCAAGGAUGAAAUGAAGAGUUUGUAUAUUCGGAAAACGUCGAACCACAACGAAGAAAAUAGAAUCGUUACUCAAAAAGAAAUGACUAAGAUUAAGAAAAUCUACUUCCAUUUCGGCUGCCGAAUGGCCUUUUUUUUUAAUCAAUUCAUUAUUUAUUUGUGAACACAAGGAAUACAAAACUGUAGCUUCAAAUCGUUUCAUCUAAUUACAAUUUAGAUCUGUGCUUAUACCUGCAGCGUAAGCGGGACAUAAAAGUCAUUCCAGGAUCCGAAGACGACAUUGAUAUUUACCUGCCUCAGUGGAUUAGCUCCACUUUAAGAGACUGCCGAAACAACUUUAAAAA
Molecule: RNA transcript, 1437 nt
Organism: Cotesia glomerata
Lineage: Eukaryota; Metazoa; Arthropoda; Insecta; Hymenoptera; Braconidae
Exons: 9
Source: RefSeq, a predicted model, not a curated record